GAUGGACGCUGGCGGCGUGCUUAACACAUGCAAGUCGAGCGAAGCACUUAAGCGGAUCUCUUCGGAUUGAAACUUAUUUGACUGAGCGGCGGACGGGUGAGUAACGCGUGGGUAACCUGCCUCAUACAGGGGGAUAACAGUUAGAAAUGGCUGCUAAUACCGCAUAAGCGCACAGGACCGCAUGGUCUGGUGUGAAAAACUCCGGUGGUAUGAGAUGGACCCGCGUCUGAUUAGCUAGUUGGAGGGGUAACGGCCCACCAAGGCGACGAUCAGUAGCCGGCCU
Molecule: ribosomal RNA, 283 nt
Filed under: uncultured bacterium
Lineage: Bacteria
Description: partial 16S ribosomal RNA
Rfam family: Bacterial small subunit ribosomal RNA
Source: RNAcentral